AUGUCGCUUUCAAAAUCAUAAUUCAUUUUAUAGCCUACUGCACAUUUGGGGGUGUGUGCGCGCACGCAUGGGUGUUGAGCAGCUGGUCUCUGGUGUAAACCAAUGACACCACAAGAUGGAAAUCUGCUCUUGGCAAUAAAAAGCGUCGGCGAUUGGUUGAUAAUUUCUUACAUUUGGACUUAACAAAUGGAAGCGUGCGCAAGCACCCAUGGUGUUCAGCCAAUGAAUGUAAACGAAGCGGACCUUUGCUGAAGUGGUUCUACUCGCGUCUCCGCGCGGUUGUGUCUCUAUUAGCACAGAGGGAGCGCGCGGAUCGGUAUUGGCAUCGAUAAGGAAAAUAUCUGUGUGCAGCAGUUUGGGUUCUAAGGAGAUUCUCAUCUGUGAGUGAAUUGGCAUCUCUCAUUCAGCCCUCCGUCGAGGCUGCUGCUGCAGGCUUGUUGAUGAACGCAACAUCAGGCAACAUGGUGACUACCGUUUCCAAAGGCUCUUCAUCAAACUGCCCGUCUGAGUACAACCAGCGCCACGCAGUGAGAAUCGGAGGCUGGUGAGGCUGGAGGCUUGGCUCUGAGCUCUGCUGGUGGUGGAGAGAGAGAGAGAGAGAGGAAGAGGAAGAGAGAGACGGCUCCAGUGGAGGCAGGGCUGUGGGGGGAUGGGGAGGACCUGGUCCCCGGAGAAGAGGCUUCAUUGAGGGACAUGAGGCAAAGCUCAGCCCUGCUAGACCCUCUCUGAACCAGAGUGCACUGACUGCACUGACUGUUGAGUUGAGUUGAGUCUGACACUCAACUCUUUGCUUGCUAGGUUUUUUUGUUUUGAGUGGAGAUCUUUUGCUUUAUGUCUCCUGACCAAGAGUGAAAUUUGUGCCAAACAGGAAAAAAAUUACAGACAACGAAAAAAAGAGAAGGAGAGACUAUCAGACUGACCCAGAAAGUCAUUUUUAGCACAAUUUAACCUAUAUGGGAAGAUUUUUUUUUAGUGUUGAUACAGAUUUCUCCUUAAAAUAUUAGCUUCAGAACAAAAGACUCUUUUUAUUUGAGCGCCCUUUCAAUGCUAUUCAGCUUUCUUAAGAUUUUUUUUUUGUGAUGAUGACCUAAUGAGAUUUUCCUUAAGUCACAGCUUUGCCGUGCCAUUUUAAAAAACAAAAACAAAAGACAAGUCAUAAAGUUUACAUUUUUUGUAACGCUUUUAUUUGAUUGCUGCUCAAAGAAGAUGGUAGUUAGUUUUGAGAGACUAGUGCAUUAGAGUUUAAAGUGCUUUAUGUUAUAGGGACCCUGUGUGGCGGUGGUGAUGCAUUAACUGGGUCUAGGCUGCAAAUGACGUGAAUGCGAACGGGAAAAAGAGCCUCGGCAUUGAUUGACAGAUUGACAGGCAUCAUGUGACCAAGAGUGACCUGCUGCUAAUGGCUGUUUAAAUAUCGUGUCUUUGGUCUGUGAGUCCUCUGGUCAACGUGCUUCCCUCCCCUCCCCCUCAGAGAACGUCCUGUCCUCAUUUAGGUGCCAUUUGCUUGUGAACAAAAAAGCCUUCCAGAAGCAUCCAGCCCACCUUUUUUUGGUCUGUGUGCAAUUGGACAGAUGAAAGCCAUAAUAUGUGAACUUUUAUAAGGCUUAGAUAGACUGCUUUUUUUAACCUGUGAGUACACAUGAAAUACCAUUGCCUGGUGCAUUUAUGUGUUCAGGGAUUCCUGUUAAAAUGCUGAUUUAAGUUGCGUAUGUUUUCCAUUUAAAACAGCAACAUUUAAAAAAAAAAAAGUUGAUGGUGCAUAUUGUUUAGGGGAACUUGAGGGCUGUGAAAGAUUGUUCCUCUACCUCAGUGGUGUGGGUGCGGACACACGUCCGGUUUAGUACUUUGGGAGCCCAAGUUGAAGUUUGUACUGAAAGUGAAAAAAAGAAGAACAAAAAAAAGGAUUGGACUGGUUUGUGUUGCUUGUAAUAUAUAUCCCCACGGUGACGAAUGAAUCUCAGCCAGUUCAUGGGUUUUUUGUGGACAGAACCGUGCAGUCCUGCCAGAGACGGGCCCAAGCCCACCUUCGUCUUGUUCUGCUGGGCAGAGCUGAGUCCAGAACAGAGACACUUGUGUAAGGGGGCCACACACACAUAGAUAUUUAGAACUUUUCAAGCUCCCCACCACCUUUCCCCAUAUGCCUCCAGAGUCGCUCUAAAUCCUGCAGCUCUCUCUUACGCUGACUCAUAUAGCUUCCUCUAAGCCUUUGUGACAAGUUUUGUGCUGCCCUUUGAACUGUUUUGAAUUGAACUCACAGCUUUGAACUUGACUGCCCACCUAGGCGUCAUAUUGUGUGUAUCACUGACGUAUUUGUUCUAUUAAGAGAACCUUUUCCUACCACACCUUAUAUCCUCUAACCUAGGUGUGUGAGUUAUUUAGUUCUUUGGCGAUUGUGACUCCUUGCAUGCUGUUGGAUUUAUUGGAACUAGUCACACUCUGGCAGACAUUUGUUUGUUGAUGAUAAUCAACACUGCCAAAUAUUAGGACGAGCAUAAACACUCUUUCAAGAUUUGUUUACAAGAUGACAGCAGCCCUCACAGCUGUCAGUGAAACCGUUUACAUCUCAGAGAAGAGCUAUGAAAUGGUGUCAAAAGUCGAUUCAUUUCUAUUUUGACACUUCCCUGACAGAAAAGUGUAUAGGUCAGAUGAUUGUUGUUGAGGAACUGAGGUGCCAGUAUAGUUACAUUUGACCUGCUUAUGUAGUGACUACUUGCAGACUACAAUUCUAAAAGUUUACAAUUCUGAGAAAAAUGUUUACAGCCAACAUUUUUCCUAGACAGUGAAUCUUUUUCUGGGCCAGGGUGCAGGCUCUGAACAAAAACACCUUUAACAGUGUUGCCUAUCUCUCGUCUUCAGUAUUGAUCAUUUUAAACGUUUACAGUGGUUGCAUAUUUGUUUUGUUUACAAGGACAGCGCUGUCCACCUCAAAAGACGUCUGAGUUGAAUACAUGUAGAGAGUACCUGUUUACGCAGUAGAUAACUCUGACCACCUCUACCAAUCCAUCGAACCCUUCAGUAAAUUGUUGUUUACAGUGAAUGCUAUUGUUCAAUGUUUCAACAGUCUAGGCCAUUAUAUCCUGUGCCAAUUUGAAUUUGGAUUUCUAUUUCGUGUAUCAAUUAAGUGUUCGCUAGUACACAUUUUCUGUAAGAGAUUCAGCCUGUGACUAAAUAUUCUCCGUGUUUACAUUGCUAACUGCUAACUAUCAGAGAUUUUCAUUAAGAAUGGGAGCAACAUGUUUAC
This is a long non-coding RNA of Alosa sapidissima (American shad), 3238 nucleotides long. RefSeq lists it as uncharacterized. The record is from RefSeq and is a predicted model, not a curated record. The transcript is spliced from 3 exons. Lineage: Eukaryota; Metazoa; Chordata; Actinopteri; Clupeiformes; Clupeidae.